UACGUAGGUGGCAAGCGUUGUCCGGAUUUACUGGGCGUAAAGAGCGCGCAGGCGGCUGGUCAAGUCCGAUGUGAAAUCUCCCGGCUUAACUGGGAAGCUGCAUCGGAAACUGAUCGGCUUGAAGGUGGGAGAGGGUAGUGGAAUUCCCGGUGUAGUGGUGAAAUUCGUAGAUAUUAGGAAGAACACCGGUGGCGAAGGCGGCCCACUGGCUCGAUACUGACGCUGAGGUGCGAAAGCGUGGGGAGCAAACAGG
This 253-nucleotide ribosomal RNA is filed under the name uncultured bacterium. RNAcentral describes it as "partial 16S ribosomal RNA". It matches the Rfam family "Bacterial small subunit ribosomal RNA", at positions 524 to 776 of the family's 1533-position model. The record is from RNAcentral.